AGUGGGAGCACGCUUCGGCGUGUGACUGCGUACCUUUUGUAUAAUGGGUCAGCGACUUAUAUUCUGUAGCAAGGUUAACCGAAUAGGGGAGCCGAAGGGAAACCGAGUCUUAACUGGGCGUUAAGUUGCAGGGUAUAGACCCGAAACCCGGUGAUCUAGCCAUGGGCAGGUUGAAGGUUGGGUAACACUAACUGGAGGACCGAACCGACUAAUGUUGAAAAAUUAGCGGAUGACUUGUGGCUGGGGGUGAAAGGCCAAUCAAACCGGGAGAUAGCUGGUUCUCCCCGAAAGCUAUUUAGGUAGCGCCUCGUGAAUUCAUCUCCGGGGGUAGAGCACUGUUUCGGCAAGGGGGUCAUCCCGACUUACCAACCCGAUGCAAACUGCGAAUACCGGAGAAUGUUAUCACGGGAGACACACGGCGGGUGCUAACGUCCGUCGUGAAGAGGGAAACAACCCAGACCGCCAGCUAAGGUCCCAAAGUCAUGGUUAAGUGGGAAACGAUGUGGGAAGGCCCAGACAGCCAGGAUGUUGGCUUAGAAGCAGCCAUCAUUUAAAGAAAGCGUAAUAGCUCACUGGUCGAGUCGGCCUGCGCGGAAGAUGUAACGGGGCUAAACCAUGCACCGAAGCUGCGGCAGCGACACUAUGUGUUGUUGGGUAGGGGAGCGU
This 666-nucleotide ribosomal RNA is filed under the name Escherichia coli. Its description in RNAcentral is "partial 23S ribosomal RNA". It matches the Rfam family "Bacterial large subunit ribosomal RNA", at positions 572 to 1239 of the family's 2925-position model. Lineage: Bacteria; Pseudomonadati; Pseudomonadota; Gammaproteobacteria; Enterobacterales; Enterobacteriaceae. The record is from RNAcentral.